CCUACGGGAGGCAGCAGUGAGGAAUAUUGGUCAAUGGACGAGAGUCUGAACCAGCCAAGUAGCGUGAAGGAUGACUGCCCUAUGGGCUGUAAACUUCUUUUAUAUGGGAAUAAAAUGUUCCACGUGUGGGAUUUUGUCUGUACCAUAUGCAUAAGGAUCGACUAACUCCGUGCCAGCAGCCGCGGUAAUACGGAGGAUCCGAGCGUUAUCCGUGUUUAUUGGGUUUAAAGGGAGCGUAGGGGGAUUGUUAAGGCAGUUGUGAAAGUUUGCGGCUCAAACGUAAGAUUGCAUUUGAAACUGGCAGUCUUGAGUACAGGAGAGGUGAGCGGAAUUCGUGGUGUAGCGGUGAAAUGCUUAGAUAUCUCGAAGAACUCCGAUUGCGAAGGCAGCUCACUGGACUGCAACUGACACUGAGGCUCGAAAGUGUGGGUAGCAAACAGGAUUAGAUACCCGAGUAGUC
This 460-nucleotide ribosomal RNA is filed under the name uncultured bacterium. RNAcentral's name for it is "partial 16S ribosomal RNA". It matches the Rfam family "Bacterial small subunit ribosomal RNA", at positions 338 to 795 of the family's 1533-position model. The record is from RNAcentral.